GACGAACGCUGGCGGCGUGCUUAACACAUGCAAGUCGAACGGAAAGGCCUCUUUCGGGGGGUACUCGAGUGGCGAACGGGUGAGUAACACGUGAGUAACCUGCCCUUGACUUUGGGAUAACUUCAGGAAACUGGGGCUAAUACCGGAUAGGAGCUCCUGCUGCAUGGUGGGGGUUGGAAAGUUUCGGCGGUUGGGGAUGGACUCGCGGCUUAUCAGCUUGUUGGUGGGGUAGUGGCUUACCAAGGCUUUGACGGGUAGCCGGCCUGAGAGGGUGACCGGCAACAUUGGGACUGAGAUACGGCCCAGACUCCUACGGGAGGCAGCAGUGGGGGAUGUUGCACAAUGGGUGGAAGCCUGAUGCAGCAACGCCGUGUGCGGGAUGACGGCCUUCGGGUUGUAAACCGCUUUCGCUCAUGACGAAGCUUUGCGUGACGGUAGUGGGUAAAGAAGCACCGGCUAACUACGUG
RNAcentral lists this ribosomal RNA (467 nucleotides) under uncultured bacterium. Its description in RNAcentral is "partial 16S ribosomal RNA". It matches the Rfam family "Bacterial small subunit ribosomal RNA", at positions 28 to 507 of the family's 1533-position model. The record is from RNAcentral.